This 253-nucleotide ribosomal RNA is filed under the name uncultured bacterium. RNAcentral describes it as "partial 16S ribosomal RNA". It matches the Rfam family "Bacterial small subunit ribosomal RNA", at positions 524 to 776 of the family's 1533-position model. The record is from RNAcentral.
UACGUAGGGACCAAGCGUUGUUCGGAUUUACUGGGCGUAAAGGGCGCGUAGGCGGCGACUCAAGUCAGCUGUGAAAUCUCCGGGCUUAACUCGGAACGGUCAGCUGAUACUGCUUUGCUAGAGUGCAGAAGGGGCAAUCGGAAUUCUUGGUGUAGCGGUGAAAUGCGUAGAUAUCAAGAGGAACACCUGAGGUGAAGACGGGUUGCUGGGCUGACACUGACGCUGAGGCGCGAAAGCUAGGGUAGCAAACGGG